CAUUUCUGAAGAUUGGCC
This 18-nucleotide ribosomal RNA is filed under the name Scolecobasidium cordanae. RNAcentral describes it as "Ochroconis cordanae partial 26S ribosomal RNA". The record is from RNAcentral. Lineage: Eukaryota; Fungi; Ascomycota; Dothideomycetes; Venturiales; Sympoventuriaceae.